Molecule: RNA transcript, 7219 nt
Organism: Zea mays
Lineage: Eukaryota; Viridiplantae; Streptophyta; Magnoliopsida; Poales; Poaceae
Gene name: complex 1 protein containing protein
Exons: 6
Source: RefSeq, marked validated
UUUAAGGAAUUCACACUUCCUCUUGUGGCGCCCCAUUCUCUCACCAGAGUACGAACUACGAAGACCCGACAGGCCGACACCCGCUCGUCUCCCCUCGCACGUAGGCGGCGCAACCGGACCCCCUCCCCCUCCAGAUCGGUGCUCCGCUGGGAGAUCUCCUCGUGCAGGCGCCGAAUCUCUUCGUCGUCUCUUCCAAGCACGGUUGGCAGCACAAUAGAUCUGUUUGCAAGCAUUCUUUGGUACUACUUCAAGGCUUUGAUGAUUGCUUUACAGCGCCGAUAUGGCCUCCCGCCCAAAGCUGUCUGGUAUUCAGAAGCAGGUUUUGGCGCUGUACAGGGGAUUCCUUCGAACAGCACGUCUUAAGGCCCCUGAAGAGCGCCACAGGAUCGAGUCCGUUGUCUUGGCAGAGUUCCGUGACAAGGCAAAGAGUGUUGACCGUAGGAACUUUAUACAUAUCGAGUACUUGUUGAGGAGUGGGAAGAAGCAGCUUGAGCAGCUCAAGAAUCCUGAUAUUACUGGACUUGCUACCCUUGUAGUAAAGAAAUGAGGUCUUGGUGGAGUGCACCAAGAUGAAUGAAGCACUCCAAGAUGAAUGAAGCAGCAGAUUGGAUUGAGAAGAACGCCCGGACUCCGGUGAGAUCGUUGACGGAUCUGAUCAACGGAACUGAACCGGGGAUUUACCACGGUGACCAAGCAGCUGCAUCGCAGGUACAACUUCUUGGAUGAAUUCCUUAGUACUAACUACGACCUCUUUUAUAGCACAGGUGGGCCUUAUCUAACAAACUCAGGGGAUAAGCCCAAUAACUGAUACUCCCUUCGUUUCUUUUUAGUUAUCGCUGGAUAGUUCAAUUUUGCACUAUCCAGCGACAACUAAAACGAAACGGAGGGAGUAUUUAACAAACUCAGGAAAUAAGCACCAUUAGACCUUGUCUUGUUCGGUUGAAUGGGGAUCCAUGGAUUAAAUCUCUUUUGAGUAGCAAUGGAUUUAAUCCACUUUAGGCCUUGUUCGUUUCUGUCGGAUUGGUGGGUCGGAACGAUUCCUAACCAGAUUGCUUCUCUAAUUUAUAUAAACUUUGAUUAGCUGGAACGAUUCCGGAUGCAAUCCGACGGAAACGAACAAGGCCUCAGUCUACUUUGAACCGAACAAAUCUUGACUGAUUACUAACAACUUAGAGCAAGUUUAAUAAUAUAAUCUAUAGUAGGUUUUAUGGUGUUGCCAUAUUAUAUAUAACCAACUAAAAGUUUUUUCAUAUAAUAUGUCUUUCAUAAUACAAGCUGUACAUUUAAUACUUGGUCUAUCUCUUUCUCUUACAAAGAGUCAUGAAAUCUAUGAGCAACCCACUUUCAGCAUCAUCAGACCUUGUUUGGCUUGUUCAUUGCGGUUUGCUGUGACUUUAAUCCGACUGUGGUUGCGACUUCUACAAUAUUUUAUCUCUAUAAAUUGUAACUGCAGCAGUCCGAACAACAUUACUAGAGGUGGUAGCCCAUAAAUGAAUCCACAACAUUAGUCUAGGAUGUUCUUUAUUGCCCGCAGUUGUCCGUUCCGGGUGUUGAAGAGCCGCCUCGUCUAUUCCAACCCGAAUUCUGUGUCGUUUGAUGACCCAGGUAUGUAUGUGUAAUCUGCUGUCACGUACGAACGAUUGGCGUAGGUCCUGGUGAACAAUGUGCCCGUCUUGUCCGACGCCUCUUUUUUUCUCAAUCCUCGAGCCAUAAGUUUUCGCUGGUACGACUAUGUUAUCAGUGAUUGUAUUUGAUUUUAGCUUAAGAGCUGAUUUGAUGAUAAAAAAAAUUAGAGAGAUCUAUAGAGGAAGAGGAAAUUCCUUGCUAUUCAAAUUUGAAUAGUAGGAGAUUUCCUCCCCUAUAGAAUCCCUCCAAUUCUCUUCGCCAAACCAGUCCUAAGGGUUUGUAUCCAAACUAUUUUAAAUACCUUAUUUUUCCACUCUCAUAUUAUAUAGCUUCAUAAUUAGUUGAAAAUUGGGUGUACAUGAUAGCCGAGAUAACCUGAAACUAUCAGAGGGGCAAAAAUACUCGGAAAUUCUAUUUUGGAAAUUCUGUAUGUUUCAAGUAUUCAACUUCUUGCUCCUCGCGUGAGAGAAGAGAAGAAAACUAGAGAACAAGCACUACAGGACUCGUCUUCUUUGCCAAGUGCCACAGACACUAGGCAAAGCCUCUUUUGCACUCGGCAAACGCUUUGCCUAGUGUUGCACUCGGCAAAGAGAAGUCGAUAACGAAGGAAUCGGCAAAGUGUCUUUGCCGAGUGUCAUUUCUCGGGCACUCGGCAAACACUUUGCCUAGUGCCACACGUCACUCGGUGAAGAAAAGUUUUCAUGACGGCGGAAGGCACGGUAACGGAAGCUUUGCCUAGUGCAGCACUAGGCAGAGGCGACCCCUUUGCCGAGUGCAGCACUAGGCAGAGGAGGCUCCUAUGCCGAGUGUAACACUAGGCAAAGUGUGUUUCCAGGCUACCCUCGCUUCUUACCUUGCCGAGUACUAUGGUUGUUGCACUCGGCAAAGACCCUCUUUGCCGAGUGCAACACUAGGCAAAAUGACCAGAGCCACCCUUUUUAUUUAUUUGUAUAUAUUCCAUCAAAACAGACAGAAAAUACAUAUCAAACACCACAUACAUAUCAUCAACAUCACAUGUAAAGCAGCAACAACACAAAUAAGUUCACAUGUCUCAUAAAUAAGUCCACAUGUCUUACAAAUAAGUCCACAUGUCUCACAAAUAAGUUCACAAAGAUCACAAUAUAUCACCGACAAUACAUAUCUCACAAAUAAGUUCACAAACGACGCACGCAAUUAGGCUCAGUUGGUGAAACAUGAGGAUCAUUCGAUGCCGCCGAUUGAUUCUGCAAAAAUGAGAAGGCAUUACAUGUGUGAGACAAGAUAAAUAUAUAUUAUAUUUAAUGAAAACUUUCAUACUCUACUAGGUUUCAAUUAGUGCAGUGGUUUGACCCUAAGCAUGAACAUACAAACUAAAACAGUCAUACUCACAGGAGUGGAAAACUGAGAUGGAGGUGGAUUUGGAGUGAAUAGCGAAGGUGGUGGAGCUACACCCGUUGCAGACUGUAUGUAAUGAAGAAUGUCCUCCGUCCUCUGCUGCUCGGACCUCAUCCUCGCAUCCAACUCCAAACGUUGCCUCCUCUCUUCUUCAAGUUGGGCCUGCAAUAUUUCACCCACAUGUUACAAUAAUGCAUAGAAAAGAUAUAUUAUCAAUGAACGACGAAUAUAGCAUGAACAACCUGGAGUUCCCUCCUCUCUUCUACCAGUUGGUUCUGCAAUAUUUCACUCAAAUGUUAAAAUAAUGCAUAGAAAAGAAAUAUUUCAAUGAACGAUGAAUAUAGCAUGAACAACCUGGAGUGCUUGUAUCCGAUGCUGUGAAGUGUCCUGCCGAGGUUGUAUGGCUGGGCUCGCGCUCGUGCUACUUGCUCGAAUCUGAGAUAGAGAGGGAGUAGCGGCUGAGUCGAUUGCACCGUCGCAAAUCCAGUAGCGUCCAUGCUUCUUGCCUCCUCCAACCCUCAUGACAACUUCUGCGUCAAGCUCCUCGGUGCUCGGAUCGUAUUCAGACCCAUGGACCUCCCUUGCCAUCGAUGUGUACUCACUGAGGCGACUGUGGAUGGUUCCAUUGUUGUACACCUCCGGCCCAUCCUCUGGGUUAUAGUUGACGUCGGACGUCGCCUUGGCCUUGUGGGACAUAGCAAAUGCCUUGAAGAUGGAACAAGUCUGUCCACCAUGUGACACCGACUACGAGAAAACCAGCGAGAUGAUUAGAAAUUAUGCAUAAUUGAGUGUUUCAAUAAAUAAAUGAAUUCACAUACCCAUGCUUGUGCGUAUCCGUUGAGGCUGCGACUGCCUUGAUGGUGUGGUACACCUGGCAUCAUCAAACGUCGAUCCCGACAAGUGUUGUGCACCUCCUCCCACUCGUCUGAGCACCAUUGGUCCACCAUUCGUUCCCAACACCCGGGAUGCGUGGCACACCAAUAAGGAAUCAUCUAUAGAAAAUCAAGUACAUGAUAUAUGAGAAGAUGAAAUUAAGGCUACCUAAUCUCAAAAGUAAUCGGUAUUAAUGUUUUGUAUUUACCUCCAAGUACUGGUCCCGAGUCAACUUCAUGGUUCUUGCGUCCUUUUUGGAGACCUUCUCUCUAAGGAUGGUCCCAUGGUAUUUUAUGAUGGCCUGGAUGCGCGCCUCGUAGUGCAUAUCUACGAUGAGUUUUUACAACAUCUGGUAGCCAACGCAUCUGCCCUGCCCUCAUAUCCCUCCUGACAUCUGUAGAAAUCCUAUAUAUACAAACACGAUGCAUCCAUUCAUUAUUUCAAAAAUGUCCAACAAAUGCAAUGUAUUGAGCAAUAUGGGAUAAGAAAGAUUUACCCACAACUCUUGCUUCACCCGCUCUGCCUUGUUGUUGAAUACCCUACUGACUCGAUCUUCAGCAUCGGGGGCAAUGGCGUAGUGGUCGAACGAGUAGGCUGGCACCAUCACUCCGUCGUACUCAACCAUUCCAGGGAAGUGUUCCUUGCACAGAAGACCGAGUAUGCCAUUGACUCGGCGUGUGUGAGCACCUCCACUCACCACAGUCGACCAGUUCCUGCCCAAGUGAUUAAGAAAAUUAUUAGUUUCUAUUUUGAAUUUGAACAUAUAAUAUCAAGAUUAUAUGAAGCAAGGUUUAAAAUAGCGGGCUAUAGCGGCGCUAUAGCCUGGCUAUAGCGUUUUGGGAGACCAAAAGCUACGAUAUACCAUUUUCACGCGCUAUAUCCGCUACGGGCGCUAUAGCUGAAAAUAGCGCCGCUAAAUACAAUAGCGCUAGCGCCAAAUAGCUGACGCUAUUUCUAUUUUCUAGAGUGGGCCAAAAAUAGAGCAAUACAUUGAAUUCUAGAGUGGGCCAAAUAGCUUCCUAGCUUCUAGCUGAUAACUAGCUGCUUGCCUGCUUGCGUACGUACUAGUACUACUGCUACUUGUUGUGCGGCUGUGGGUUGUUAAUUGUCAUCUGUCAAAAUCGAGCAAGGAAGGAUCAAGGAGGAAACAGGCAAUAGCAAGUUAGCGACACAAGAAGUCAAGAAUUGAAAUGAAUAUGCCCCAAUCCCAAUAGCAAGGCAAGUUCGAUAGUUCUUAUUCCUAAUUCACGUUCUUAGUUUUUUAUCCACUACUAAGUAGUGUCGUAGUGAAUAAUGUACUAAUUACUAGGAAUUUUUGGGGCUACAAAAAGUGCGAAUAAAAAAUAAUAUACAUUUUUGGACAGACAACAGAGAAGCAAUGUUGUUGCAUGUGAAAAGGUUCCAACUGAUGUGAAGGAGGAGAUGUAUGAAUUGCUCACAAGGAAAAUUGGAAAAAAGGAAAAGAAAGAAAAGGAUAGACAAAUGGCUAGAGCUAAAGUUAACUUAAAUCACUCACAGGGUGAAGCAUCAAGUGAAGAUCUCAAUUCUAUUGUUAUUAUGAACCCAAGCAGCUCUAAAGGUGGUCCUAUAGAGAGGUUCUGUAAGAGGACUCCAGAGGAAGGUAUUAUUGCAAAUAAGGAAUCCAACCUUGGCAAGAAGGUACAAACUAAGUUGUCAACUCAAAAAAGGGAAGAGAGGAGAGAAAGAGCUUGUGAGUAUAUCUGUCAAUUUUUUAUGAAGCUAGCAUUCCACACAAUGUAGUAACACUUCCAAGCUUUGCACUCAUGCUUGAAGCAGUUGGAGACUUAGGUAGAAAUUUGAAAGGACCUAGUGCAUAUGAGAUGAGUGGUCCUUUCUUACAGACUUUGGUAGUAACACUUCCAAGGCUGCUCACUUAUGACUGAUGCAUGGACAGAUAAGAAAGGAAGAGGAGUAAUGAAUCUUGUAGUUCAUAAUGCAUAUGGGGUCUGUUUCUUGAAUUCGGUAGAUUGUUCAUCUGUUAAGAAAGAUGGUCAGUACAUAUUUGAUCUUGUUGACAAAUGCAUUGAAGAGAUUGGGGAGAAAAAUGUUGUUCAAGUGGUCACUGAUAAUGCUAGCCCUAAUUGGGCAGCAGCAGCCCUAUUAAAGGCAAAAAGACCUUCAAUUUUCUGGACUGGUUGUGCUGCCCACACUAUUGAUCUAAUGCUUGAGGACAUAGGAAAGAUUAAGAAAGUAGAUGAAACAAUUGUGAAGGCAAGAUCUUUGACUACAUUCCUUUGCUACAGCCUAUUUGAAUUUGAAAAGCAUGUUAGACAACAAGAAAGAGUUAGGAAAGUUGUUUAGAUCAGAUGAACUCAAUGAAAUGGGUUACUUGAAAAAGGAUAAGGGAAAGAACACUAGCAAAAUAGUGAGGUCUGAUACAUUUUGGAAAAAUGUUGAUUGUGCUGUCAAUUUUCUUAUAUGGAUGUUUGUUGGAUGCAAAGAAUGAUAUUGCCAAAAGAUUUGACAAUGUUGAACUUCGUUUCAAAACUGUUUGGGAAAUUAUUGAUAAGAGGUGGGAUAAUAAGCUGGUUCAAGAGGUUGAAAUCCAAGACAAGAUAAUGGAUGAGCUCAACAUGUACCAGGAUGGGAUGGGAUCUUUUGGAAAAGAGAUUGCCACAAGGUAGAGGAGGAAUGAAAAUUUUAAUCCAGCUAAAUGGUGGUUGAACCAUGGAAAUAGUUCUCCAAAUCUUAGAAAGCUAGCAAUAAAAAUUUUAGGCUUAACAUGUAGCUCAUCAGCAUGUGAAAGGAAUUGGAGUGAUUUUGAAAAGGUUGACUCAAAGAUAAGGAGCAGACUUCUCCAUGAUAGGAUGAGGGACCUUGUGUUUGUCAAAUUUAACUCCAAGCUGAAGCAAAAAAAGAGAACAAAUCAAGAGACCCAAUUGAGAAGCAGGUUCCUGAUAUCCUAGAAGAUAGUGGCAAUGAGUGGAUCACUAGAGUUGCAUCAAUUGAAGCCACAAAUGCACAAGGUCAGUCAUCAAGGACAGCAAUAGAAACGGGAAAAAGGAAGAGAGAAGUUCAACCUAAAAGAAAGAAAAGGACAAGGAAGCUCAUUGAUAUUAAUGAAUGCAAUGAUGAUGAACCUGAUAUUAAAGAAAAGUUCAACAGUCCCCAAGUUUUCAUUCUUCUGAUUCGGAUAACUAUGUGUUUGAUGAAUAGAAUGCACUAGUAGUAGUUCACUUACACUAUUGCACUAAUAAUCAUUUUGUUAUGUACUGGAUGUCUGGAUCAUGGUAUUAUGUAGCUAACUUGCUACAAUGCUACCUUGGUGAACUAAUGAACUACUUGUUUGCUGUUGUAGUAAGUAGUAUUUUAGAAGUUGGAACUA